GACGAACGCUGGCGGCGUGCUUAACACAUGCAAGUCACGGGGGCUCGCAAGAGCAACCGGCGAACGGGUGCGUAACACGUGAGCAACCUACCGAUUUGUGGGGGAUAGCUGGCCUAACGG
Molecule: ribosomal RNA, 120 nt
Filed under: uncultured bacterium
Lineage: Bacteria
Description: partial 16S ribosomal RNA
Rfam family: Bacterial small subunit ribosomal RNA
Source: RNAcentral